GUGAGCAGGAGGCCAGGGCAUGGCAGGGGGAGCUGCAGGGCCGUCGGAGGGGCCCCAGUGUCUGAGCCCUGUCCUCUCGCAGG
MicroRNA precursor from Chlorocebus sabaeus (green monkey), 83 nucleotides. NCBI's taxonomy places the organism in Eukaryota, Metazoa, Chordata, Mammalia, Primates, Cercopithecidae. The record is from Ensembl.